RNAcentral lists this small nuclear RNA (20 nucleotides) under Arabidopsis thaliana (thale cress). RNAcentral's name for it is "snRNA_08999". Lineage: Eukaryota; Viridiplantae; Streptophyta; Magnoliopsida; Brassicales; Brassicaceae. The record is from RNAcentral.
AUUGGUGCAAAUCCAAUCAA